This 419-nucleotide ribosomal RNA is filed under the name uncultured bacterium. Its description in RNAcentral is "bacterial SSU rRNA". It matches the Rfam family "Bacterial small subunit ribosomal RNA", at positions 355 to 773 of the family's 1533-position model. The record is from RNAcentral.
UGGGGAAUCUUGCGCAAUGGCCGAAAGGCUGACGCAGCGACGCCGCGUGUGGGAUGAAGCAUUUCGGUGUGUAAACCACUGUUGCCCGGGACGAGCAUCCUCUUUCGAGAGGACUGACGGUACCGGGUGAGGAAGCAACGGCUAACUCCGUGCCAGCAGCCGCGGUAAUACGGAGGGUGCGAGCGUUGUCCGGAAUCACUGGGCGUAAAGGGCGCGUAGGUGGCCUGUGGAAGUCUGCGGUGAAAGCCCGGCGCUCAACGCCGGGUCGGCCGUGGAUACUCUCGGGCUUGAGCUCACUAGAGGCAGAUGGAAUUCCGGGUGUAGCGGUGGAAUGCGUAGAGAUCCGGAAGAACACCGGUGGCGAAGGCGGUCUGCUGGGGUGAUGCUGACACUGAUGCGCGACAGCGUGGGGAGCAAAC